CCAGACUCCUACGGGAGGCAGCAGUGGGGAAUAUUGGGCAAUGGGCGCAAGCCUGACCCAGCAACGCCGCGUGAAGGAGGAAGGCUUUCGGGUUGUAAACUUCUUUUGUCAGGGACGAAGCAAGUGACGGUACCUGACGAAUAAGCCACGGCUAACUACGUGCCAGCAGCCGCGGUAAUACGUAGGUGGCAAGCGUUAUCCGGAUUUACUGGGUGUAAAGGGCGUGUAGGCGGGACUGCAAGUCAGAUGUGAAAACCACGGGCUCAACCUGUGGCCUGCAUUUGAAACUGUAGUUCUUGAGUACUGGAGAGGCAGACGGAAUUCCUAGUGUAGCGGUGAAAUGCGUAGAUAUUAGGAGGAACACCAGUGGCGAAGGCGGUCUGCUGGACAACAACUGACGCUGAGGCGCGAAAGCGUGGGGAGCAAACAGGAUUAGAUACCCCGGUACUG
This 450-nucleotide ribosomal RNA is filed under the name uncultured bacterium. Its description in RNAcentral is "bacterial SSU rRNA". It matches the Rfam family "Bacterial small subunit ribosomal RNA", at positions 331 to 793 of the family's 1533-position model. The record is from RNAcentral.